This 379-nucleotide unclassified non-coding RNA is filed under the name uncultured bacterium. RNAcentral describes it as "contains 16S-23S intergenic spacer region". The record is from RNAcentral.
UCCGAGUUGACCCCGGCAGUCUCCUGCGAGUCCCCGCCAUUACGCGCUGGCAACACAGGACAAGGGUUGCGCUCGUUGCGGGACUUAACCCAACAUCUCACGACACGAGCUGACGACAGCCAUGCACCACCUGUGAACCGGCCACAAAGGGGAAACCACAUCUCUGCAGCGGUCCGGUCCAUGUCAAGCCUUGGUAAGGUUCUUCGCGUUGCAUCGAAUUAAUCCACAUACUCCACCGCUUGUGCGGGCCCCCGUCAAUUCCUUUGAGUUUCAGUCUUGCGACCGUACUCCCCAGGCGGCGAACUUAACGCGUUAGCUUCGAUACUGCGUGCCAAAUUGCACCCAACAUCCAGUUCGCAUCGUUUAGGGCGUGGACUAC